Molecule: non-coding RNA, 715 nt
Organism: Malus domestica (apple)
Lineage: Eukaryota; Viridiplantae; Streptophyta; Magnoliopsida; Rosales; Rosaceae
Source: RefSeq, a predicted model, not a curated record
AAUGUAGUGGUAUUUCUUAAUAUUUUAAAAUGUGUGCUGAUUCAUUUCUUUAUUCUUCAGAGUUGAUAGAGAGGAAGCAAAAAUCACUGCUUGGGAAAACCUGCAGAAGGCGAAAGCUGAGGCAGCAAUACGGAAACUGGAGAUGAAGCUGGAAAAGAAGAGAUCAUCAUCCAUGGAUAAAAUCAUGAACAAGUUGAGAUCAGCUCAGAAGAAAGCGCAAGACAUGAGAAGCUCAGUUUUAGACGACCAAGCACAAGUUGCAAGAACCUCACGCAAAGCUUUAUCAUUCCGAAGAACUUGUCAUAUGGGUUCUUUGAGCGGUUGUUUUACAUGUCACGUUUUCUGAUGCCUUCCAGCCACAUGUUGCUCCACUCGAGCGAUAAAGCAAGCCUAAAAUCAGGACACACAUGAACGGUGUACAGCAGUUAGCAGCUACUAUUUUGACACUUGAUCAGCGUCAACGCAGUUUUAUAGUGGCACGAAGCACCAAUGCCCGAAGUUCAGUUUUAGAUGACCCUACCUGGUGAGAAAAUUCUUGGUGAUUCAGUGACUAAUAAUGCUUGUGUGUAUGUAAAUCAAAGACUUCAGAUUGUAUACUAUGUUCAAUUUUUUUUCUAAACUAUGAAGCCUCUUGUGCAAAUGGAACUACAAUCGUCUUCUCUAUAGUUUUCUCAAAACAAGGAUCAAUUAGAUUGCUCCCCUUACGAUUUUGUGA